Molecule: long non-coding RNA, 992 nt
Filed under: Zonotrichia albicollis (white-throated sparrow)
Lineage: Eukaryota; Metazoa; Chordata; Aves; Passeriformes; Passerellidae
Description: lncRNA (ENSZALG00000017161.1)
Source: RNAcentral
GCAAAUGGCCAGGUGCUUCAGCCAAACCCUCUGAGCAAUUCACUGGUCAGGGAGAGAUUGCAGCACUCAGAUCAGAAGUCCUGUUGUAUCUUACAGACUCCUUCCAGCUUUUUCUGAUGUCAAACGAGGUAGAUUUGCUGCAGCUUGAAUCAAAUGGAUUCCAUUUGUCAGUUUUCAGGGUUGAUGCCGUAUCUUGCCUUACAUCUUGAUUGACUUUUCACUCUGUGCUUUUUGCUCUGCAGCUGCUCACAAUUCUUUAGUACACAGAGAAGAGGAAUUAUUUGUGGAAUGCAUCAUCAGCCAAGUCUCAACACACACACUGGAAAGAAUUGGCGCUACAGACCCAUAUUAUCAACUGCAAUGAAACAAUGCUGGAAAGGAAUUGAAUAUUUUGGUGCAGAGUACUUGUAUGAACUUCAAAAUCCUGUGUGUUCCAACUGAAAGAUCAACAUAAUUUUGGUUUUAAAAUGCUGACUCUGCUCUGGACCACUGCUGCUGUUAUGACUUCAUUAGUGUGGCACAGAUCCUUGUCUCUCUCACCCUGGCUUCACUCUGAAGUAGCUCUGUCAGCUCACUGGAGAUGUAUCUGACUUAAUUUGAGAAGAGAAUCAGGCCACAAAUGUCAUCUGCCUAACUCUUUUGGACAGGAAGGAACUUCUGGUUUGGAUCCCUUUGGGUUAAGAGAAAAAAAAAUUAAAAAAAAAAAAAAAGCUUUAAAACCUCAAAACCAAACAUAACCUUUCCUUCCCCUCAGCAGCAGGUUUUGCUUAUAGCGUGAUAGUAUAUGGCUCUCUUUAGUGUGCUGGAGCUGCCCCACAAUGAGAGAGUGCAUUUGCUAUUUUUCCCCCUGGGAAGCAGGCGUCUCCCAGCAGUGACGUGUGGCUGGUUGCUGCUGGAGCAGGAAGCAGUGGGAUUGCAGGGCUGACGCACUUUGGCUGCCUCUGCCACCUUCCAGCCUCUGGUGGCACAGGCCAAGCUCAUGCAGACAGAUG